This 65-nucleotide transfer RNA is filed under the name Dipodomys ordii (Ord's kangaroo rat). It matches the Rfam family "tRNA". Rfam says of the family: Transfer RNA (tRNA) molecules are approximately 80 nucleotides in length. Their secondary structure includes four short double-helical elements and three loops (D, anti-codon, and T loops). The record is from Rfam by way of RNAcentral. Lineage: Eukaryota; Metazoa; Chordata; Mammalia; Rodentia; Heteromyidae.
GGUGGCUCAGUGGUAGAGCGCUCGCCUCCCAUGCAUGAGGCCCUGGGUUCGAUUCCCCAGCACCA